Ailuropoda melanoleuca (giant panda) is the source of this 276-nucleotide long non-coding RNA. RefSeq lists it as uncharacterized. The record is from RefSeq and is a predicted model, not a curated record. The transcript has 3 exons. Lineage: Eukaryota; Metazoa; Chordata; Mammalia; Carnivora; Ursidae.
CUUUUUGUGGGAGGGAGCAGUCAACAGAAGAAUCCAGGCAACUUUCUGCAAACGUGGUGAAGGAAUCGAGCCUCAGAGUAAUGAUAAACCUGACCAUAGAUCAGGGGAAGGGUUUGCGGUUUGCAAAGUCUUUACUUGCUGAGAGUGAUGAAGAAUGAACACACUGAGAAAACACAUUAUAUAACUGUAAAAUAUGCAUUCGCAAAGCUAUAUUUGUAAAAUUAGUAAUAAAUCAUAAUAACAGGUAAUGACAUACUUUAAAAUUAUCUUAAAUAU